Molecule: non-coding RNA, 101 nt
Filed under: Eubacterium sp. ER2
Lineage: Bacteria; Bacillati; Bacillota; Clostridia; Eubacteriales; Eubacteriaceae
Description: S4-Clostridia ribosomal protein leader
Rfam family: S4-Clostridia ribosomal protein leader
Source: RNAcentral
GAAAGGGCGUGAAUACCGACACGCCUGGGCUGGGAUAUCGGAACAUUACUGCGUUCCGGUAGGGAACAGGAAAAAAUCCAGUGCCCGCAGCCUCAAUUUAG